This 85-nucleotide transfer RNA is filed under the name Felis catus (domestic cat). It matches the Rfam family "tRNA". From Rfam's summary of the family: Transfer RNA (tRNA) molecules are approximately 80 nucleotides in length. Their secondary structure includes four short double-helical elements and three loops (D, anti-codon, and T loops). The record is from Rfam by way of RNAcentral. Lineage: Eukaryota; Metazoa; Chordata; Mammalia; Carnivora; Felidae.
GCCUGGGUGGUUUAGUUGGUUAAGCGUCUGACUUCAGCUCAGGUCAUGAUCUCAUGGUUUGUGAGUUCGAGCCCUGCUCUGGGCU